Molecule: ribosomal RNA, 496 nt
Filed under: uncultured bacterium
Lineage: Bacteria
Description: partial 16S ribosomal RNA
Rfam family: Bacterial small subunit ribosomal RNA
Source: RNAcentral
AUGAACGCUGGCGGCGUGCCUAAUACAUGCAAGUCGAGCGAACAGACGAGGAGCUUGCUCCUCUGACGUUAGCGGCGGACGGGUGAGUAACACGUGGAUAACCUACCUAUAAGACUGGGAUAACUUCGGGAAACCGGAGCUAAUACCGGAUAAUAUAUUGAACCGCAUGGUUCAAUAGUGAAAGACGGUUUUGCUGUCACUUAUAGAUGGAUCCGCGCCGCAUUAGCUAGUUGGUAAGGUAACGGCUUACCAAGGCGACGAUGCGUAGCCGACCUGAGAGGGUGAUCGGCCACACUGGAACUGAGACACGGUCCAGACUCCGACGGGAGGCAGCAGUAGGGAAUCUUCCGCAAUGGGCGAAAGCCUGACGGAGCAACGCCGCGUGAGUGAUGAAGGUCUUCGGAUCGUAAAACUCUGUUAUUAGGGAAGAACAAAUGUGUAAGUAACUAUGCACGUCUUGACGGUACCGAAUCAGAAAGCCACGGCUAACUACGUG